This 253-nucleotide ribosomal RNA is filed under the name uncultured bacterium. RNAcentral describes it as "partial 16S ribosomal RNA". It matches the Rfam family "Bacterial small subunit ribosomal RNA", at positions 524 to 776 of the family's 1533-position model. The record is from RNAcentral.
UACGUAGGUGGCAAGCGUUAAUCGGAAUUACUGGGCGUAAAGCGUGCGCAGGCGGUUAUGCAAGACAGAGGUGAAAUCCCCGGGCUCAACCUGGGAACUGCCUUUGUGACUGCAUGGCUAGAGUACGGUAGAGGGGGAUGGAAUUCCGCGUGUAGCAGUGAAAUGCGUAGAUAUGCGGAGGAACACCGAUGGCGAAGGCAAUCCCCUGGACCUGUACUGACGCUCAUGCACGAAAGCGUGGGGAGCAAACAGG